UGCUUUAAGAAACUAAUUUAAAGUAAGACCUGCUCAAUGAUAAAUUAAAUAGCCGCAGUUAACUGUGCUAAGGUAGCGUAAUAACUUGCUUCUUAAUUAGAAGAUAGUAUGAAUGGUCAGACAUUUUUAAAUGUCACUAAAUAAAAAAUUAAACUAAAAAAAAGGUAAAAACUCCUUUAUGAAAAAGUGGGACGACAAGACCCUGAUAAACUCAAACAUUUUGUUGGGGAAACUAUAUAAAAAAACUUUAUCCAAAUCAAAAAACAACUUAAUAUAAAACAAAGUUACUACAGGGAUAACAGCGCAAUUUCUUUCUAAAGCUCUUAUAUAAAAAGAAGAUUACGACCUCGAUGUUGAAUUAAUAAACCAAAUAAAGAGCAUAAACUUAUUAAAUGGUAGUCUGUUCGACUAUUAAAAAAUU
RNAcentral lists this ribosomal RNA (421 nucleotides) under Panjange sp. Ind103. RNAcentral's name for it is "partial 16S ribosomal RNA". The record is from RNAcentral. Lineage: Eukaryota; Metazoa; Arthropoda; Arachnida; Araneae; Pholcidae.